Molecule: ribosomal RNA, 2709 nt
Filed under: Triticum aestivum (bread wheat)
Lineage: Eukaryota; Viridiplantae; Streptophyta; Magnoliopsida; Poales; Poaceae
Description: partial small subunit ribosomal RNA
Source: RNAcentral
AUGAGAGCUGAGAAAUGGCUCAACACCUUUGUCCGCUUCAUUGUCUUGCUAGAGAGGGCGGGUAACGGAAUCGGCACCCUAGCAUUCAUCUGGGCGACGGUGGUCGUGCUCGGCGGCUUCUCAACCUACCUGGGCGCUGAUUUCUGGGUCGCCACUUUGAUAGUCUUCCUCGAGGGUUUCAGGGCGUUUAGCAGACAAAGCAGAUCAGAUGACCAAUUAUUAUUCAAGACUACAGGAGGCAUUGACCUCAAAAGGAUCGAGCUAGGCCGUGGAUCUCUGUAUUAUAUGAAUGCAAUAAUGAUGACGGGUUGUCUUUUCGAACUGAUGCUGAGCUGCUUCCUACCUACCUUUUACCCGGCGACUGACCUCCUUUGUUUUUUGUUGUUACUGGUGAUAGUACACAAGAUGGGUUUUUACACAGUUCUUGAAUACAUUAGCGGGAAGGAGAGCCACAUGCUGUUGCAACUUUCUCCACCGGUUAUUCCCAUUAUAGUUGGGCUUUCAACCUACUAUAGAAAAAUACGUAGGAUGUAUAACUGGGCCGAUUACUCGCUUAUCCCUGUAUGGUUUGGCAUCUACAUUUUAGCAAGGUUUGGUUUGCCAGAAAAUAAUUGCCCUUUUCACAAAAGAGUUAAAUUACUAGCACGACUAUCACGUGCCAUAUUGCUUGUUGCAGCAAUUUAUAUGAUUAACACCUGGUUUGAGUCUGUCGGCUGGUUGGUGCUGUUAAGUCCAUCGGUGUUCGGCAACCUGCAAACUCCAAUGGCUCUCGCACGAAUCAUAGUGUCAUGGGCGUGGCUUUUCUGGAAUGAGAUUCAAAUUCAUGACACCAAAAACGAAAAUGUCAGGCUAGCGGUUAUGGCCUUGUACAUAAUGGUGUUGAGCCAAGGGAUACUAUAUUUGACGGCGUGCUUACUAGAGUCAUUAUCCUUCUUGUUUCGGAGAUCACUAGCCCUUGCAUGUGCACUCGUAGAUGAGAUGGGGAUGGACUCAAUUGAUCUCUACUAUGAACAAGCCUACGACACCUUCUUGCAAGAAAGUCUCUUCGACACUACAAAGAAGAUGAGCCUUGUCACUUUUGCUGUGGUUUGCCUAAACCCAGACGCCUCACGAGACAAGAAGCGCGCUGCUGUUCGUAUCCUGCACUCCUUUGUGCAACAGCAAAACAAGACCUGUUGUUCCGGGACAGAGCUCAUCUCUCUAAUCACAACAUCUACCAAGGCAGUGACAGCCUUGAUUAGCAUGUUGGGUUGGACAGUCACCGAAGACGCAGAUAUCAGGCUAUUCGCUGCAAAGGUCACAGCUCAUCUUGCUCCAUAUCUACGGAUCGCCGGGACUGCUGGAACCAUGCAGAUGGUGUCUUCACUUCUUGACGCCCAAGAUCAACCAAUGACACAUCAAAUUUCAAUCCUGAUUGUGGAUGGCAAUGGAGGUAAUGGAGAUGCUCUUCAAAUAAGCAAUGGUUCAAGUUCUCCAUCAAGGAAUUCAACUUUGGACACUGAAGGAGGUCAUGCAUCAGCAGUGCGAGGUUGCUCUCUGGUACACACAUUCUUUCUUUUUCUGAUAGGGUGGAUACACAGAUUUUGGCAGCACCUUAAGAAAAUGCAGGCAAUUCCACAGAAGGGUUUGAAGGAUAACCACUCGCUCCCUGCACUGGGCAUGCAAAUCCUUGAAGGGCUUUCUCACGAUCUCCACAAUUGUGAAGAAAUCAGUAGGGAAACAGAGCUCAUCCCAAAGAUCAUAGGAUUCAUAAGCUGCAUUCCUGGCACAACAACAUCGCAGCGGGAAGAGAUCGUCACUUCAUCAUUGAAAUUAGUUGAAAAGCUUGCAAGCGUCAAGGGGGAAGUCGGCAUAAAACUGCGGCAAAAGAUUUCUGAGAAUUCAUUCCUAAUUGGUGACCUCGCCGAGAUCUUGGAGAAUGAGGGCAACUCGAGCUACCUAGUACAAUCAAAGCUGGUUAUAGAUAUCAUCACCAAGAUCACCACAGAUACAAAAACUAGGCAGGAGAUUGGGACGGUACAAGUUAUCAUUGACAAGUUGGUGCAGCAGUUUAUUGGGGAAGAGGAGUCAUCAAAUCCACUGCAAGCAGAGGCAGGGGAAGCACUUGCGAUGUUGGCAAUUGAUAGCCCUGACAACUGCUCUGCUAUAUUGGACAAAACAGAUUUUGAGCUUAUCGGGGAUCUCGCCAACAAGCUUCAGGGUGGUACUCACAUGUGCCCAGCAGCAAGUCUACUCCGGAGUCUCUGCAAAAACUCAAGGCAAUUAGUGCUGAGACAUGAAGGUUCAAACAAUCACCUGCCAUCUACAUUAACAGUAGUCUUGGGAAGAAUAAAGGAUGCAGAUGGCAAGCAGGUGGAGGCCCUAAUCGGCCUAGCUUCACAAAUCUGCAGUGUCAUGUCAGAACGCAUUGCCCCUGUUUUGGACACGUUUGCAGAUGAUGGGGCAUUUGUUAAAAAACUUGUGGGUGAACUCAAUGCUCGCAUGAAACCAAGUCCUGAUGAAUUUCCAGAAAUGAGAAGCCUGCUGAUUGAGCUCACAGUAUCCAUUGUGGAAUUCUGCCCUUACUACGCACCCAUCUUCAAGGAGCACAAGAUGAUGGAAGCCCUGUCCAAGGUGGAACGUUACACGGGGGAGGUUUCAGAGGAGGCCAGAGCUCUGCGCGCCAUUGUCACCACUGCAAAGAGGCUGAUCGGCGCCAAUACGCCGUGA